GGGGGGGGUCCGGCCCCAUCCCCAGGCAGCGGGGUCGCCGUGGGGCCCAGGCUCUGCUGGGCACGGGGGGGGGCUGCGUGUGGGUCCCCCCCAUCGUGCCGGGUGCAGUGCUGCACGCGCCGUGGUGCUGGGUGCCUGCACCUGGGCCCGGCACCGGUGGCCUCUCGCCGUCCGCCACGGGUCCCAGCUCACCGAGCCCCCUGUUCCCCCAGGGUGAAGGGCUCACCAUGGCUGCAGCGUGGCUCGUCACCUGGGGGCUGCUCCUGGCCACCGGGGUCCCCGCCGGGGCCCAGGGGACGCUGUCGGUGGAGCUGCCGUCGGACAGGACCCCCCCACGGGGCAGGGUCCCCCUGCAUGCCCUGUCCUGGGCACACCAGCAGCCGGUACCGUCCCCUGCCUGGGACGCCUCGGGAGAGCUGAGCGGUGCCGGGACCCCCGACAGCGAGCACUGGGGGGGCAGCAGCCCCGUGCGCUGGUCCCCGCUGCCGGGGGCUGUCACCGGGGCACCUCGGGGGACAGGGAUGAGCCUGGCAAGCAGCGCAGCCCCGGCCGUGGUGGAGGAGCCCUUCAUCGCCUGGCGAGGAGGGGAGGCCGAAGGCCAGGACAGCCCCUGGGGGGGGACACGGCUGCCCCAUGGCUCUGCACCGGGGACGCCGGCCCCCAAGGUGCCCAUGGACACGGGGCCAGGCUCCCCGGGGCCACCCUGGGCCGGGCAGGGAACGUCCCCAUCCGGGCACAGUGCCACCAUGGCAGCCAGGACCCCUGGCCCCCGGCCGACCGUGUCCACCAUCGCCCUGACCCCCGAGCCGUCAGGGGGGACCAGGACGGGGACAGCGGAGGCGCACACACGGGGACAGCCAGCGGCCCCGGGCCCCGCUGGGGAAGUGCAGGAGCUGCGGGGCCCCCCCAGCACUGCCCCUGUCCCCCAGCCCGUGGGCACGGGGCCAGCACAGGGUCCCCACACCAGCCCUGGCUCCGUGCAGCUGACGGGCAGGCGAGGGGAUGCAGGGAGCCCCCCCAGCCCCUCCCCGGCUCUGCCCAGCUCUGUCCCACUGCUGCUGGCGGAGCCGGGGGGCCAGGGGGCCCCGUCCUGGGGGCUGGUGCCCGACGUGGUCCAGGAGGGCAGGGCUGAGACGUGGACCUGGGCGCUGCCUGCCCACCAGAGGAGCACACGCAGGGCCCCGCUCAGCAACGCCACCACCGGGGACACGGCGUCCGCCAGGCCAACGGGGCUGCAGGGACCCCAGCCCACCCCGGGGGCUGCCCUCGGCACCAGCCCCACACCGCUGCCCGUCUCCAGCACGACCCCCCCGGGCACUCCCUAUGCAGGGCUGCUCCCCGAGCAGGACGUGGGCUCCCCGCAGCGGGUCCGGGGCGCCGUGGGUCCCGGGAGCAUCCCAAAUGCCACCGUGCCUGCCCCACAGCCGACAACCCAUCCCGUGGCAGGGACACCCCCCGGGACCAGGCGCUCAGACACCUUGGGGACGCAGCCCCCCGCCGCCAGCACCACCGCGUCCCCCUCGGCCACGUGGCGGCGGGGAGUGGUCUGGGUGACGACGCAGCGCGCCCCGUGGCGUCCCCCGGCACCGGAGCCGGAGCCAGAACCGGAGCCCAGCCACCCGUCACCGGGCGCCAGCGCCUGCCCGGGGUCCUCGUGCGCCGACGGGGGCUCCAACACGACGGCGCUGAGCUGGGCCGAGCUGCGCCGCCCGCUGCGCCUGGCCUGGGCCGCCCACGCCUACGCGGUGGCCGCGCUCUGCCUGCUGCUGGGGCUGGGCUGCCUGGCGGGGCUGGGGGCGGCCGCGGCGCUGCGCCCACCCCACCUGCCCCUGCUGCUGGGCGCCCAGGGGCUGCUGCUGGCCGCCAGCCUCCUGCGGGCCGCCCUGCUGCUGGCGGACCCCUACGGGGCGCGAGGCCGCCUGCCGCCCCGCGCCCUGCUGCUGCUCUGCACGGCCCCCUUCCCGCUGCUGCUGGCGGCCUUCGCCCUGCUGCUGCGCCGCCUGCAGCGCCUGGCACAGCUCCGGCUGCUGCCCAGCCCCCUGGGGGGGCUGCCAGCGCUGGGGGCCGCGGCCGCCCUGCAGAGCGGGGCGCCGGCUGCCGCCGACCUGCUGUGGCCGCGCUUGGGCCUGGCCGCCGGGCUGGCGCUGCACGGGCUGGGC
Molecule: long non-coding RNA, 2159 nt
Organism: Anser cygnoides (Swan goose)
Lineage: Eukaryota; Metazoa; Chordata; Aves; Anseriformes; Anatidae
Source: Ensembl